Molecule: long non-coding RNA, 469 nt
Organism: Neofelis nebulosa (Clouded leopard)
Lineage: Eukaryota; Metazoa; Chordata; Mammalia; Carnivora; Felidae
Exons: 2
Source: RefSeq, a predicted model, not a curated record
GCCCCGCUCGGCGGCAGGUGCAGGAGGGCCGCUCCGCAGGCCCGCGCGCGACCCCGACUAUUGUUUAACUGGCUCUCUGCUCGGCCUCCCGCCGGUUCGAACCCUGCUCCGGGGCGGGGAGUUCCAGAACCAGAUGCGGCUGCCAGUGUGCGCGUCCGAAGGGCAACCUGCUCUCAGCUGCAAACCUGCCUCCCAGAAACGAAAUCUGCCCGCUCUGACAGCUCGGUUGAAGGUGAUUGAUGACUGUCUGGAGACCACAGUACGCAUCAUAUAAUAUCUGCUGCGUAAUUGCUUUAAUUUACAGAUGAAAAUACGAGCUCUCCGAUCGCGCUGAACCACAGCCGGCCACGUCCGAGCUGCUUGCGAAGGAAAAUCAUCGGAAAUAAUGAAUAGCCGCCCCAUGCAAAUUAUUCAGACAGUUUAAGCGUCUGUAGCCGGGAGAGAUAUAUAAAGAACACGAGUCAAAUGA